Molecule: long non-coding RNA, 21685 nt
Filed under: Equus caballus (horse)
Lineage: Eukaryota; Metazoa; Chordata; Mammalia; Perissodactyla; Equidae
Description: lncRNA (ENSECAG00000046564.1)
Source: RNAcentral
ACCUCGUUCAGGAGCCACGGGCCUGAGCACCCAAGAUUAAAUCCUUUUCGGGUUAAAUGUCUUUCUUCUCUGGUUUUUGGACCUCAGAUGCAGAGAGCUGAGUUUCUCAUAUUGAUCAGUUCACAGCACAUUGUCUUCAUUGGUCUAUGCAAAGCCCUCUCUCGUUUUAUUUAUUCUCUUUUAUCUCCUCUCCCUCCAAGUUUCUUCCCCCACCACAGGCAACCAUUCUAAUGUACUUGCUAUAUAUACAGUGUAUACUUGUGUUUAUAUGCAUUCUUGUAAAAAUGCGUUCUGCUGCUAUGUAUGCCUGCAUUUUGAUUUUAUGUGAAUGCAUUGUGCUCUAGACUCACUCUGUUUGUUUUUUACUUCAUCCACGUGGCUUUGGGUCCAUCCAGUCUGUUGUUCCUGACUGCCACAGACUAUUCCAGCCUGCGGUUCCACCACGUUUUCCCCAUCCACCCCCUCAGUCCUGUUCACCCACACUCUUUCCAGCUCCCCAACACCACAGCACUGUGAGAGCCAUCCUUGCAUAGGUCCCCUUGUGCACCUGUAUGAGAAUUUUUCUGGGAAAAGUACCCUCUCUGGUCUAUUAGCUAUUUAUUUUAGGUCUUGUUACUUAUGUGUUUUUGCAUAAUGGAUACUUUCACACUAAUAUAUACCAAAAAGAAAAAUCCAAGUGAUUCUUAUAACAUAUUGACUAUAGUAGUGAGACCCAAACAACAUGCAUGAGUGGCUAUAGCAAACAAUCUAACACACCGUGAAUGCCAUGGAAAAGGCUGGGAAUCUUGGCAUCUCAGUGUCAUUUAAUCCUGAUACUCUGUCCGGCUGUGGUCUCUAGCAGGACUGCUGGAUCACCUUAAAUGAAAUCUCAGUGAAAUUUAACUGUUUCUUGACUUGUUCAAAAAUAUGAUUGAGUUAGAGUUCCAACUCCUGUGGAUCUUAGCUGAAAUUCUUACAAGUUUUUUCCAAAAAAGGCAAAGACUAAAUCUGGUUCAAGAAAUCAGGUUCUAUGCAUUAAACCUAAUCUCUGCUGAUAAAACUAGGCAGGAUCAGACAUUCUAGUUUGGGAAAGAAUGAAAUUUUGCCAAAACUCUGCUUGUUACAAUCAGCAUAAUAAGCUGAAUGGAAUGUUUAGAGAAGAGCUCAGCAUUUAAUUGGCAAAUAUCUUGAGUGAUAGUUGUUGACUGAAAAUUCUUUGUACAGUAGCCAUGUUAUGUAAUGCACUGAUAUUUCUGAUAUUUCCAAACCAUUUCUGUGCUUUAAAGCAGUUGUUACUUUAGCAAAAGUAUUUAGGUUAAUGCUGAGACUUGUGGUAGUUUUUCUUCUUGAUCAGAAGCCUCAAAUAUUAUUGGGCAUUUACUCUCUAACUAGUAAAGAGUAGCAGUUAAUAUUGCAGGCUACUUACUAGUUCUGUCACUUAGGGCAAGACGCUUAUCCUCUCUGUGCCUCAGCUUCCUUGUCCGAAAGACUGAGAUGGUGGUAGGACCUGCUUUUUGGUGGUGGUGUGAGAAUUAAAUGGGAUAGCACACACAAGAUGCUUUGCACAUAGUAGGCCCUACAGCAUCAUAUGCCCUGGAGGUACUCAGCGCGUAUCCUGGUGAUGAUUUAUGCAGAUAUCCUGGUCAGAACUGGGACAUUUCAAGGUCAAGCAAUUUCUUUUACUUUAUGGGACUAUCCUCCAUUAGCUAGUCCCAUAGCAAUGCUCUCCUGCCCUCUGACUCCUUGUGUCCCCAGGCAACUAAAGCACACAGACUUCCUUCACUCACCCGUUCCUAUAGACAGCCUGUUCUUUAUGUGCAUUUGUUUUGUCUACCCAACUAGAUUGAAAUUGGAGGGAAGUGAUGGUGUCUUCUAGUUCCUUUGAAUCUCAGAAAGCCCUUGGCAAAUUCAAGGACACACAAUAGAGUAGUAGAAUGUUUCUUUCUGUACAAAUUUACAAAGUCCCUUUGAAAUUUUGCUAGCAUGAGAAUUGUACUUUCUUAACAUUUUUUAAAGGUAUGAAUGAAAUCUGAACAGUGUACCUUUUCUUUCCCCCUCCCUAGAGAAGUGAGGCUCGUGUUUUUCUGUAGCCAGCUUUAGCCAAUUACUCCAUGGUAUAGUUCCUUUCUCUCCAAAGCUCCCAUCAGGGUCAGCGUGGAUUUGCUUUCGACACAGACGGAUCUUCAGUCCUAUUACCUUUUCCAUGAAGGGACUUCCUGUUGAAGUAACUGAGCAGCACAAACCCUUUUGAGUGUGUGUGCGAAUGUGUGUGCAUGUGUGUGUUCGUUUAAAAAAACCACACUUCCCUUUUACACUGGUUUUUCAGCCUCCCAGUGGUCACAUACCAUCACAGGUCAAUUUCCUUCAUUAUUAGGCAACAUUAUGACCCUUUACAGGUGGGAAGUUGGACGCUUUCCAGUUGCUUCCCUCAGCCCGUAACUGAUUCAUGUAGCUUUCUGACAUUCAAGUUUAAAUGUAUUGUUUCCGUAAACAGGAGCAAUACUUUUCACUUGGGGACAUGGCCUGCAUGUUCUUAUAUGCUGCUCCCUCUUACUGCACAAACUCAUUUCUGCAGACCAUCAUUGUUCUUUCUGGAAAGAAUGUUUUCCCUUCUGAAGGAUUUUUUUCCUUCGCAGACCCAUUGGGUGCUGCUGGUGAUUUGGGGGAUUUUAGUUCUAUAUUUCUAUGUUCAAGGAAUUUUUAUAAACACCAUCACCACCUCUCCCUUUUAACUUCAAUAUUAAUUUUUAUUUUACUUCCUUAGUUUUUACCUUACCUUGUCUCAGAAAGGACGUAUGAUGGCUACUUGAAGAAAAAUGUUCCUUCCUCACAUCAUUUGUUCAAUAAACAAAUGCUAUACUCUGUAAGUUUCUAAUCAGUGAUCUCAUUCAUCCUCUCAAGAUCUUCAAUCUCAUCCUCUCUUGAGCAGAAACCAGAAGUCCAGCAGGUGAUGACUGUGGGGCUAAGAGAAGGCAGGAUGGGAAGGAGCAAAGUGACCAGAUGUGACUCCCUUUGUGCUUAGAGACUUAAUUGCCUGCUUCUGAUCAAGCUUAUUCCUAACCAAAGCCCUUGGCUGAAUAAUGUUCACUCUCAUUCUCAUUAAGGCAGGAGGCCAGAUCAGUUGAUGUCUUCAUCUCCUUCUCAGCACUGACUCAAUUCAUCCUGAAGCCCUCGCAGGAAUACCUGGGUGAGACGUUGGAAAGCAUUUGGUUCAUACUCUUCUCCAGGUUCUUACCAAGCUGGCUAAACCACCCCAAAUUCAAGCUCCUUCUUUUGUGUCUCUCACCAUCGCCAGUCCCAGGACAGUCUCGUUUCUUCUGCAUCAAAUUAGUCUCUCUCCUCUGAACUGGAGAGCUCUGGGCAUCUCUGGAAAGGCAGGGUACUGGCGUUCUUGUAUUCCCUACACACUGGCCAGAGCUCUUCCAUUUGUCACCAUCCCUUGGGCUCUGCUUCCCAGUCUCAAGGUGGCCACUUCUGCAAGGCCACUCCAGCCACUCCCUACAUUUUUGCAUUUGGAGGACUGACCUUCAGACUUCAUUCUCUCAUAAAUCUUUCUAAUUGCUAGUGUCUAAACUAAAAGCAAAAGUGUGUCCAAACUUCUCUUUUAAGCAUUAUAAAAGUUUUUCAGAGUGCAGCCUUAAAUCUGUCUUUUAAAUACUUAGGGGAGUAAAAAUGGCUGAGGCUGUGUAGCUCAAACAGCAACUGCUCCCAGGGGCCUGCACACCUUCUUCUGAAAGGCCACGUGUCUCCGUGAAUUUGAGUUUGAGCGGAGCUAGAAUCUUUUUAUUUCCCUCAGUACUGCCUCAGACUCUCAUUAACUAUUUGAUCCCUGACUUGUUUAAUUAUGGAGUGAAUUGAGCAUUCCUGGAACAGCUUCUUGUAGAAGCUAAAAGCAAAGGCCUCAACCCCAUAGACCUGGAUUAUAAUACAGACUCUGCCCCUGUUCUAGCUGGGUGACCGUGGGUGAGUUAUUUCGUCUUGAAACUUCAGUUUCUUCAUCUGUCCAGUGGGCAUGGUCACACCUGUGUUCUAAGGCAGUUAUACAGAGGAAAUGGGAAAACACGUGUUAAACAAUCUGCUGCUCAGUCACCAGGAUAGGAGCCCUGCCUGUCUGCACACUGCUCAGAGCCUGGGUGGGGGUUGCAGACUGGUUUGGGUAGAGCGUAGACAUAACUGUAGGAAGUGAUGUCUAAGCAGGGACCUGAGGGCUCAGUAGGAGUUCGGCAGGGAGGGUGUUCCAGGCAGAGGGAACAGCCUGUGCGGUGUGCCCCGGAGCAAAGAGGAGGAGAGGCUGGAGAAAGAAAUCUCAGCAAGACCAUCAAAGGCCACAUAAACCGUGCUUUGAACACCAGUUAGGAGGCUAUUGCAUUAAUUCAAAUACAAAACUUUGGUGCUCUAAAUGGGAGACAAAGCAAUGAGGAUGUGGAGCUGUCAAUGGAUUUAAGAGAGAUUUAGGAAGUAGAAGUGGCAGGAUUUGGUGAUUCACUGGGUGUAGUCUACGGGUUCAGGCAGCAUGGAUUCAACAGCUAUUUAUUGAGUGUGCCAUCUGUUCCCUGCAGGACCUUGACUGAUUGACUUCCUUAUCAACCGCUAGGCCAAAUGUCCAGCAAACCUCAUUCAUUGUCCAUUCUCAUGCAUCCUAGAGGCCAGGUUGCUUUUGUGUGGGGCAGGCCUUGCUAUGGAGUGUGCUUGGGGGUAGCCCUGGGCCAUUCUUGUUUUAGAAAAGCCAGGACUUUAAAGAGAGCUGUCAACACUUGAGGAUGUGAGAGUUAAUUACCAGUUAGUGGAUUCUCUCAGUCUUUAGACUCUUCUCCUUCCUCUGAAAGUCUGCUUUGUAAUCAAUGUGGUGGCCUAAAGAAAGGGUCAGAGAGGGACAAUCACCCAACAGAGCUACUGCCAUGUGGUCUUUGAAUGAGCUGAGCCAAUAGAGGACCACGGUGGGAGAGACCCUGAGCCGUCAUCUCUCCUUCAGAGGGCCUUUUAUAAUCAAGCUUUGGAUUCUUUGAUGCUAAAAUCUGUUUAAAAUCCCCGAUCCCUUACAAACAAAUGGCAAGCAGAGGCAGUGCAUAGUGGGAGGGAUGGCAGGGAAAGGAGCCUAGAAUUUAAGACAGUGCCUGGACAGGGAACGACUAUGGUGGUAGGGAAUCAGAGCCCCCUCUUCACGGUGUUGGAGAACAACAAAUAAAGAACUCUGAGUUAUUCUGAAGUUCCUUUUUGAUCACCAGACAUACCAUUCUGAAACUGGGCCACGUAGGUCACUAUUUUAAUAAGUUUUAUAUUAACAACAGCAACAAAAAUAGCCGACAUUAAAUGCAUAUUGUGUGUGAGGCCCCAUACCAGGCAGGGAACUUCAUUUCAUUUGUUCUACACAACGAUGCUAUUAGGGAAGUAGGACAAUUGUUCCCAUUUUGCAGAUAAGGAAACUGAGGCUCAGAAAGUCCAUGUAACUUGCUCAGUGUUCUACUGCCAAUACGUAGUGGAGUUUACCAGGGGAAGAGCAUGAAAAUUAGGAUGUUUGGGUUUUGAUAGAAGCUGACAGCUCAACAAUUUAUUAUUUGUGGGAAGUUUUGUGUUUGGUUAUGAGAAAAUAAUGCUAAUCAGGUAUGCUGUGUGAAUACUGUUUAAUAUUUAUUUUAAAGCAAUUAAAUAGUGGUUUACAUGCUCCCCGAGAGGUCUUUACAAGGAGACGAAGUGCCCAUUCAUCCGGUUUGACCUCUGAUGGCCCCUUCAGUACAUAUAGCCCCUCUGUGGGGGGGUCUUGGCACCCCCAGCAUACAGCAGCUCUCUUGAAUUAACGGCACCCCAGAAGACAAGCCAGGUGGGCUUCUCAUUGAAAUCUCCCUCCUUGAGCCCGUGCACUCUGUGCUUUGCUCUUCCUAAAGCAUGCGGCUGGUGAGAAGGAUGCUAAGCCGGCUUGCAGACUGCCCGACUCCACCAUCCCAGAGCCCCAAGGAAGUUUCUCUCUCGGGAGCCAGCCCAGCCAGUUUGGCUCUGGUGGACAAGUCUGAGCUGGAUGAAGGAGCAGGAAGUGCUAGUUCCUGCUCUGCACGCAGUGAUCCUCAGCUCUUUGUAGAAUAACCUGUCCAGCCAGAGAGGAGAACCCCCCAGCAAACUGGCCGGACAGCACUGCCCAUCUCAGAAACCUGCUUGAGAGCUUGUGUUCUUUGCCUGGAUUUUUGAAAUUCCUUAAUUGGAGCAGUCUUGGGAAUAUCUUCAGAUGUCACUUCUCUGGCAAUGAUUUUGCUAGCCCGCAAUGUUCACCAACUCCCACGGUCCCUUAAGUGAGGAGCCUGACUAAUUGAGAGACAUCCUGCAGCUCAUGCCCCCUCUCUAGGUCUCAGGUUCUUUAUCUGUAAAAUGAAGUGUCUAGGUUCAGGGAGCCUGUAGUUUUGAUUCAGUAGAAUAAAAUGGAUAGUCUGUGCUACAAAAACAAUGGAAAUAAUCAUCUCUCCCAAUUAUAAAAGACUGAACUCACUAGAUAGAUACAGAGGGGUAACUGAGGCUAAGAUGGAUAUCCUGAUGUCCCAAGAGGGGAAGCCCAGGGCUUUUUCACACUUGAGGAAAGUCCCCAAACCUGGUAACCUAAACAAAACAGGCCCUCAGCUGAUUUAGGGUCCCCCCAGCAGUACCCAAGCCCCCACCCAGCCCAGAUAACAAGGGUGCAGAGGCAUCAGCAUUCCUGUAACAUGAUUCCCCUACUUUGAGUGGCAUCAAUGAAAGGAAAGAACCUAGAGAUGGUGGUGGAACGGGCCUUAUGACCUGUGUGGCCUUCCUUCUCUUUACCAAAGAUGGGAAACUGAGGCCCAGAGAGUUCACGUCCCUUGCUUGAGGUCUUCCAGGUUUGGAGCUGAGCCCAUCGGCCACAGUCUCCGCUGCCAGCCCAGUACCAGAAUGGAGAGGAAGGGAAUGUUCACCUGUGCAUCACCUCUCCUUUAAUCCACCCUAGGGAAUUCACUCCCCAUUUAGUCAGGGUAGACAGCCUGCGAUUUCCAUGAGUGAUUUAGGGCCAGCGGAUUUCAUUUCAGGAGCCCUUGCCACUUCAACGUCUGCCUUCCGGUCAUCGUGAAUUACCACGGUGUGCUAGUCCAGAAACCCCAAACAGUGUAUGAUCAGCGUUACCAACCCUGGUGAGGGAGAAAAAAGAACUUGUGUGCCUGUGAAGAAGUCAUCAUUUGGAUUUAAAUCAGCCCCGGCUAAAAUAAUCAAGGGACCUCGGGUCCUAUGAAAAGGUCAAAGGUUUGCAGGUUUAGGGUUUCGUGGGAACAUGCGCGUGUUUGGACUGGACCCAAGUGCCUGGUUGACCUGUUUGACAGGUAACAAUUAGAGAGUAGGAGCUUGCCUGGCUGGAAUGUGGCUGCAGAGGCCGGUGUGGAGGAUCUGGUUUACCUGCUCGGCAGGUGGGGCCUGCCGAGUCCGACAGGCAUGUGCACGCACAGCAUUCCAGAGAAUCGGUUUUCUUUUAAAGACACAGCCAUGACUGCAGGGCACAAAGGGUUGGGUUGAGCCCUGGCUGGAAGCCGUUAGCUAUUUGCAAGGUAAAGAAGCAAAAUAAAUAGUUCUCUUUAGACAGCUCAAGGAAGAAAUUGCAAAGGCGUUCGGGACUUUUUUUUUUAAUGUCUAAAACGAAUAUGUGCUUCUUGUCUCGAGACUUGAGAAAACCCAGACUGGUACAAAAUGCCAGAGAUAAUAGAAUUGAAAAGUCGCUCCCCCGUUCCCGGAGUUUUUUUUUCCUUUUUCUUUUUAAAGAGGUCAUAGUAUUAUUGAGAACAAAAGAUAGGCUCCUUGAAGGAUGGUGUUUGGCUUGAGACAGUCUAGAAAUGUUUGCUAUUUUUCUUAGCACAGCUGUAGAAGACACCCAGGAAAGCAAAGUUCUGGGUUUUUCCUCAAUAAAUUGUACAUAAUCUGUAUAUUUUGAAGGUUAAAAAUACUGUUUCGAUAAAACAGAAUUAAAGAAAGUAAUUUGGUGUUUAAAAUAAUAGAAGGAGAUUGGGAUAAUAUUAUAUACAUAAUAUACAGUAUAAUGGAGAGUCCACACAGACGUGGAGCCAUCUCCAUAACAUGGCUUGCUUGUGAUUCAAAGGGGUUUUUGGUAGUAUCACUUCAACUUCCCUGUAUCAUAUUUGUCAUUAAUGAGAAGGGGAAAAUCAAGCCAAGGGAGACUGGGACCUGAAAAUUGCAAUAUUAUAAGGAUCAUUGCUAAAACAAACUCAAAACUCUGAAAAUUUCCAAGUAAUUACUUUUUUUUAACUUACCAAGUUAGUUUGCUAAAAAAUAAAAUUCCCCUUCUUUCACAUUGUCUCUCCUCGUUGCAGAAAUUAUUUAAGUGACCUCCAGAUAAAUGAUGGGUGCAUCCUGUUCCUCUGUGUGCUCUCAAAACUCUGAAGUCCCAAGAUAGAGUCCCAGGACGCACAUCCCUGAGCUCCUGGUGUAAGGUGGGAGAGGCAGGAAGAACUGACAGCUGGUGAUUACACUGAAAGCACCUUGCCAGUUCAAAGAGUUAAUUAUAGUGAAGCAGAGGAUCUUAAAAUUCAAUUGGCAGAAACAAACAAGCAAACAAAAACUUAGCUGUCUCUUUGUGGACUGUUGCUGAUGGUAAAACAGCUGCUAAUGUGUCAAGUUAACUCUUUAGGUGUUUGUGUAAGGUGAAUAUUAUUGUGUGCAGACCAUUUACCAGAACUGAUCAAAAGUCAGUAAUAAUAAUAAUCCUGAAGAGUCAGAACAAUAAGAACUUACAGUUACUGAGCUCUUGCUAUGUGCUAUGUGCUGUGCUAAACUGUCUACAUUUUCUCCACAAUAAUCCUGAGACAGGUAUUAUCAUGAUCUCCAUUUACAGGCAAGGAGGUGGAGGCACAGAGAAGUUCCAGAACUUCCCUAAGAUCAUACUGUUGGUAAGUGGCAGAGCGAGGAUCUGAACCCAGGCAGUUAAUUUGUUCAUUCACAGUUUUGAACUCCUCUUCUGAGACAGGCACGGUGCUGGGGGUUCACAAGACCAUGAUGAACUCUUAGUGUUGGUCCUUCAUGGACAACUUAGACUUCACGGAGUCUAAUGUUUGUUUCUGACUCCAAUACCAGCUUUCUUCAUAAUCCUCUGGAUGGUCUCUUAGUGGUACACACACUUUAAAGUCUGCCAUUGUCUGUGACCCCACCCAUUACCAUACCAGAGACCACGACCUUCACCUCUGCCAUUUCCUGGCUAUGCUGGGACACCCUCAGUAGCAGUGUCUCCGUGCAGCAAAGUACAAUGGCCAUUUUCUAGGGCAUAUACGACAUGUACACUCCAGGCCUGCUUUCUUUGCCUAAUUAGUGUGGGAGCAGUAAACUCAAAUUUGCAAGUCCUGUGAGGAGAGCUUACUAUGGGCGUGAGAAGCCAUUCUGAUUUCUAAGUAUCUUAUCAAUAGCAAAUAUUUGCAUGUUGGUUUUCACCCCUUGAUAAUUAGAACCUGAUCUUCACAGAUUCUGACAUAAUGAUCGCUUCCUGUGAAUCCUGAAAAAAACAAAGCAAAAUUAGCUUGCACUUUACCUACACAUAGGGAAGCACCUUAAAGGGGUUUCCUUAUCCUAUAGCAUUGCACACUUCCCCACAAGGUGGUUUAUUUCCCAACUGAAAUUUCCUUCUGAUAGUGUACAUAAAUCCUGAACUUUGUGCUCUUUGACUAAUUCAUCCCUUGCGUGCCUUUGAGCAAACUCUGAAGGACAGACGUGGCUUCUCUGGCAAUGACCAACUUUCAGUGGCCAUGGAAAGGGUGAAUGACCACUUACUUGGGGUAGAGUAAUACUAAUGAGUGGUAAUAGUGAUAAGUAUACUGAGGGCCUGCUCUGGGCUAGUCACUGUGCCAAACGCUCUACAUGCAUUGUCUCAUUUAAUAAUUACAGUGGCCAUAGGUAUGUAUUAUGAUUACAAGUAACAAGGAAGGAAGCUUGUUCGCAAAAUGUAAAUAACUUACUUGAGGUCACACAGCUAACAAAUGGCAAUGCUAAGAUGCAGAACCAGACCCAUCAGGUACUAGAGUCUGCAUCAGGCAGGAUGUGGAAGCAAAAGGCUAUUUGGUCUUUAAGGUUUUGUGAUUGAGAUGUUCUGCUCUACUCUGCUUUGAACAAAGAAUAUCAGAAGUGUUACCUUGGGUUCCUCUGGUCACGGUACUUUAAGUGGGAAAAUAAACAAUCUGAAGCAGGUUUUAAGGCUAAUAACCAGAGUGGAGAGAUGCUCAAACCAUGUCAUGUGAGGAGAGUUUAGGGAACCAGAAAUAUUCAUAGGCAGGAGUUGAGGAGACUAGGGCUGGGGAAUUGGGAGGGAGAGUAGGCUAAUUGGCUUCAAACAAUUGAAGGACUGUCCGAGGCAAGAAAGACUAGGCUGGUGUUGUGUGGCCAAUGAGGACCAAUAAGAAGAAGUUGGAGAGGAACAUAUUUUGAUCCCAUAUACAGAUGUUUAUUAUCCCUCAGACUGGAAAGUGGUGGAAAGAAUGUUUGAAUGCCAGUUCCAUCACUGCAGUAAGCAUUUAUUGUUUUUCUUUCCAGAGUCCUUUCCUCUUUAUUCUGAAAGCAAUGGUCUGAUUUCCUUUGGGGAAAUAACAUUUCCUCAUUAAGAGCAGUCUAGGUGGGAUAAUCAGUCAAGUUGUACCAUUCACCCUGGGCCAAGAGUUGAGCAUGUGACCCAAGUUGGCCCAGUCAAAUUCUUUUUCCUAGGACACUCUAUCUUGAGCUGAGUAACAUAAGCAUGGAAACAUGGCUGGGGCUGAUUCUUCCCUGAGCAGAGCCCUGACCCAGGAGGACACCAAAAUACUAGAAACACACUUAUGUAUUAAACAUCUCCUUCAGGCCGUGUUUUCCCACCGUUUUCUUCCAGACUUUAAGAAGAAUCAUCAAGAAUUAUAUCUCAAACCUAAAUUCCUUACGACAUGAUUUGCCCUUAAGAAUAGGAUUAUUACCAUCCCUGGUCCUACCCUUCAACAUUCUCUCAAUUUUAUGAGCUACCUAUGUCUUCCCAAUAAAUUCUCUUUUUACUUAACUUAAUAGAAAUGUUUUUCUAAUGUCAGCAAAGUGUUCUAACUGACACAACCAUUAACUAGAUGUGUGGCUAUGAUCUUGGAAAACAAUUUCACCUCUCUGAGCCCUAGUUCCUUCAUUUGAAAAUAAUCCCAGUAGGUUUUAGAGUCUAACAUGAGAUAGCAUCUACAAAGAGAAAGGCACAUACUAGGUGCUCAACAAGUGCUGGUUGGCUUCUGUUUCUCCUCUGAAAUAUAAAUGUUCUGUUUUCAGAAAAAUUGAGAGAGAUACUAUAUGUAAGGUAGUGCCUAGCACAUAGCAGUGCUCAAUAACUGGUAGCUAUGGAAAUGAUGUGAUUAUAAUUUUCUGGCAUGGGAAGUAUUCAGUCUGGACUGGAAAAUCAUUGGCCAGGGAUAUACAGAGGUUAUUCAACCAUGGGAUGGGUGUUUGGACAUGAUGACCUCAUUUUUUUCCUACACUAAGAGUCUGUGAUUCUAUAUUAGAGAGAUUUAGCAUUGUCUUUAAGGAUGUGCAGCUCCUUUAAAGCAAAAUGGCAGAGACAAUAGGCUUGGUAUGAGGACUGAACAUGGUUGGGAAGAUCUCUGGGGCUGAUGUCCAAGCCAACACUGAGGAGGGGUCACUAACCAACCUGCCCGGAGAGAGCUCUGACGAUCACCCAGGUUAGUGUCCAUAAAGACUAACUCACUCAGUGCUUCCACCAUGGUUUUGUCUUAAUUAGGAACAGAGACUCAUUCAAGUUGUUCCAGAAAUAAUGGACUUUAUUGAAAGGACACGUAUACAUGGGAACUCUGGAAGAGCCAAGGAACCCAGCCUCAAGAAAGGCAGAAAUUAAGGCAACUCUGUGAUAAGCUCUUUUCACAUUUCCAGUUCUCCCCCUCACAGCAAAGUCUCUCUCUUUAUAUUGCCUCCUUUAUCCUCUUCCUUGCCAGCUGGCUAUUUCUUGUUAUCUGUCCAUAAAUGGCCAUUCAGUCCCCAAAUCUGCAUGAUCUUCUGGGUCCAGCCACCGUAACUAACGAACCUCUGGGUGUCUUUACCUAAAUCCUGAGAGACAGAUUUGACUGGCUUAGCUGUUGAGCCAGGCUAUGUCACAGGCUACCGAUGCGCCAUCCCUGAGAUCUGUGUCCUCACCAGGUACAAUCAGCUGAGUCUGGGGAGACAAGCUCACCUCCUCUGCUACCCACUCAGCAGGAGAUGUGGACUGGUCAGGAGACAUUAGCAAUAUUUGGUAAGAGGCAUCUUACCUGUGAUGAUACCAAAAUAUAAGAUACAUUCCUGUAUAUUAAACAUCUCCUGUAAGGUAUAUUUUCCCACCAUUUUCUUCCAGUCUUUAAGGAGAAUCUCCAAGGCUUAUAUCCUCAACCCAAAUUCCUUAGAUGUGGUUUGCCCUUGAAGCAAAUUUCCCGUGACAACAUGGAAAUCUCCCUUCUGUGGUGGGUACACAAGUCAACAUUGAAGCAACUGGGUCUUCAAACAUGUGGUGUAAAAUUGAGCUAGCACUAAAGUGUUUCAACUGAAAGGCUCUGGUUUCCAGUUGAAGGAGAAGUGGAAGGAGGACCUAAGGCCAUGGGAAUGGGAAGAAGACGACAAUAAGAAGUAAAGGGAGCUGAGUGAGAGAGCCAGGAAGGAACGAGAGGUCAGACGGGAGCUGCAGCUAGGAGUGGGAGGAAAGCCAGUGAAGACGAGAAACCAGAUAAGAACUGCUGCUCCCACUUUGGGUCCCAGAAUACCUAGCGUGAAACUAGAAAAAGAGUACAGAGAGUCAGGUAGACUGAGAGAACUGGGCUGGGUGAGGGCUCGACCCCAGUGAUUGUAUUGAGUGCCAGCUAUGUACUAGGCAUGUAAGAUCUCUCCUAGGCUUGGAGCUGUGUUUAUUGUUAGACUCUAAUUGUCAACUUGCAUUCAGUUUGAACACUUGUAAGUUCUUAGCUACUAUGGUCUCAUGGACUCUGACUAAAGAAAAGUUCAGGGUAAGAAGGAGGAUAUAUUUCUAAGACCAGCGAAAUGUCUAAAACCAUAGGUAACACAAGGGAGAGUGGAACGCUCUAGAAAGGUCCUUGAACCUAAUAUUCCUUGAGAAAUUUUGAAAGCCAACCCACAGAUUGCCCUGUAAUUUGUCAUAGUCUUGCAUGCCAUUCACAUGCCUGUGGGAUCCAACCCCAGGGCUGGACUUGCAUCUUUCCAAUUUGUUUUGAAAUACUCCUUUGACACAGUGUCUCCAAGAAAACAUUACCACAAGUUUCUCUUAGGAGUAGGAAGUUUAAUGGAUUACCCUGGGCUAACGAGAGGAUUCUGGGCCCGGAAUUCUGGGCCCACACUCUUCAAGUCUGAGGAUUAAUCCUCUUCUAAGGGGUGGGUAAGCCUCUGCUGGUUGAUUACAAAUGUUCCAGAUAGAAAUCUUUAAGGCAGGAACUUUGCGAACAACAAAAACAACCACAGAAAAACUCUAUAGAAGGCCUUACCUUAACUCAUUACUUACUCAACUUUGUGAAUUUUGAGGACUUAAUGAGGCAUUUUAAAUAAAGAAAUAAGUUACUUAAAGGCUAAGGAUAUGUGGGACCAGCUUAAAUUGGGCAAUGAGAAACCUAAAUUGCCCUUUCAGAAUAUUAUUCACCCUAUAAAAACAAAUCGUAUUUGUUCCCAGUAAACAUGUCAGGACAGCAGCUGGAUAAGACAAGUGUAGACUGGUUGCUGUCCAAUCUGCCAACUUUCAGAUAAAAGACCGGGAUCUGAUAAGCGACAGAUUACCCUGAGAACAUUUGCGGCGGGAUCGUUUCUGCUUCAUCAUUUCAGUGCCAAACGUACAUGCACUGCACACCUAUCAUGUACCAGGAGCAGAGUGUGGUGAUUCAGAGUGUAAUCCUGGAGGCAAAACAACUUGGGAUGGAAUCCAUUCCCACUACAUGUUAGCUCUGUGACCUUGGGUAGGUGACUUAAUUUCUUUAAGCCUUGGUUCCUUUAUCUAUAAACCAGAAUGACAAUAUAUUGACCUAAUUAUAGAGUUAUUGAAGAUGAAAAGAGAUGGCAAGAGGAAAAUCUAGUGCCCAGAAUACAGGAAGCGCUCAGUCAAUGGUAGGUAUCAUCCUCUUCAUCGCCAUUGUUCGGGGCUGAAUCAUUUCCCCCCCAAUUCAUGUGUUGAAGUCUCAACCCCCAGUACCUGAGACUGUGACCACACUUGGAGAUACGAACUUUGAAGAGGUAAUUAUGGUAAAAUUAAGUCAUCUGAUCUUAAUGCAAUAUGACUAGUGUCCUUAUAAGAGGAGAUCAGGUCACAAAGACACAGGCAGAAGACAGCCAUCCAUAAGCCAAAGAGAGAGGCCUCAGAAUGAAAUUAACCCUGCGGACACCUUGAUCUUGCAUGUCUAGCCUCGAGAACUGUUAAAAAACAAAUUUCAGUUGUUUAAGCCGCCCAGUCCGUGGGGUUUGUUAUGACAGCCACAGCAGACUAUUGCGGUCCUCACCAUCCCUAUCACCAUGUGCUGGGAUUCAAAGAUGAUUAUGCCAUUAACUCUUUUUCAGUGAACUCACAAUCUAAUAGAGAGAGACAAGCGUGUGGGCGUAUAUUCUUUACAAUACAGGCUUAUAAGGACAAAAAUAGAGGUCUGUACCCAUUAGAGGACGGGAGAGGAAUGCUUUACAGCAUAGAGGGUGGGAAGGUACCUAAAGGAGAAAAAAGGCAAAGGUUAUAAAGGAUGCUAUGUCUGAAAAGGUCGAGGAAAGUCACUUGGUAAAUAAGGUGGGACAGGGCAUUUUAGGCAAAGGGACAGCAUAUAUAGUGGAGUUCAUGUAUAACAAGGGACAUUCUUUGGGAUUUACUAUUUGGGACUCAUUGGUGCUGGAACAAGGGACCUCACCUCUUUGUGAUGGAGAGAAAGUAAGUCCUAAUCCAAACAAAGUGAGACGCUGUUAAUCAGCCUGACCGCUGGUGCCUGAAUGCUCAUUUCUACUGUCCAGAUGAGUUAAGGCGGGCACGAAAAGAGAAAUCCUGUUUUGGCCCACCACAAGCAUUUAGCAGGCCUAGUGUUUUUAGUUUGCAAGCUAAGGUAACAUGACACUUCAGCUUUAGCUCAGAAAAGACAAAAGGACAGUGAGAAUGGGGGAGAAAUAGCGUACUUGAGAGGAGGCGGUUAAAAUGUAAUCUGUUUGCUGUGGUGUGUACAUAUGUGGGGAUUUAAAACAUAUAAAAAUAUGAUUAUAACUGGCUUCACAUAAAGCCCUCAUCAUAAAUUUAAAAAAAUUAUGCCUUUAAAUGAACCACAAUAAGCAAGGUGGGGCGGUAUUAUUAUUCUCUGCCUGCUCAUGGAUUCUUGAGGAUUAAUGAGCUAAUGUCUGUAAAGCUCUCUAGCAAUGCAGAAGAAAAGAACUGGAAAACCGGGAAGUGUUACUAUCUCCUCCUCAACCUCCUGCAAAGCUCAAACACCAAACACAAAACAGUCUGUCUUAGCUUUUUAUCGUUUUUAAUAUAAUAAAAACCGAUUAAAGAACAUUUUGUUAAAAGACGAAAAAGAUUCCCCAUUUUACUAAUAUGGCAAAUUUUAUUGCUCUAUAGUUCCUUCAUCUUUAGUCUGAUUCGUCUAUGGUUGUAAUUAUUUAUAUACUUUAUAUUUUAAAUACUUAUGUAUUUUGCAUUAGCUUUUUUGUUUUUACUUAACAUAUACAAUUUGUUCAUGUUGCUACCCAAUCUUCAUAAUAAUUUUUAAAGUUAUUAUGUUGAUAUAUAAUUUAUAUACCAUCGAAUUAACCCAUUUUAGUAUAUGAUUCAAGAACUUUUAGUAAAUUUAUACAGUUGUCCAAUCAUCACUAAAAUCUAGUUUUUGAACAUUUCCGUCACCCCAAAAUUCCCUUGUGCCCAUUUGUACUUUCCAGUUUCAUUCCCUGCCCCGGGGAACCACUGACCUGCUUCUGUCGUAGAUUUGUGUUUCCUAGAAAUUUUAAGUAAAUUUAUGUCUGGCCUAUUUCACUUAGCAAAAAGUAAUUGAGGACCAACCACAUUGCAGUAGGUGUCCGUAGUUGGCUCCUUUUUAUUGCUGAAUAACAUUUUGUUGAAUGGAUAUACCACACUUCGUUAACCCACACUGCAGUGACAAACACUUGGAUUGUUUCCAAUGUUUGGUUGUUAUGAAUACUGCUGCUAUGAAUAUAUGUCUUUGUGUGGACAUGUUUUCAUUUUUCUUGGCCAGAUAACUAUGAGUGGAAUUGCUGAGUCAUAUGGUAACUUUGUGUUUAACUUUUUUUUUUGCUUGAGGAAGAUCGGCCCUGAGCUAACAUCUGUGCCAAUCCUCCUCUAUUUUGUAUGUGUCACCCCUACAGCAUGGCUUAAUUAGUGGUGUAGGUCCACACCUGAGAUCCAAACCCACAAACUGGGGCCACUGAAUGGGAAUACGUCGAACUUAACAACCAUGCCACUGGGUCAACCCCCAUGUUUAACUUUUUAAAGAAACAAUCAACUGUUCCAAAGUGUCUGCACCAUUUUACAUUCCCACCAGCAGUGUAUGGAAGGUUCCAAUUUCUCCACCUCUUUGCCAACACUUGUUAUUGUCUCCUUUUUGAUUACGGCCUUUAAAGUGGGUGUGAAAUGAUAUUUCAUUGGUUUCAGUUUGCAUUUCCCCAAUCUCUAAUGAUGUGGCCCAUCUUUUUGUGUGUAUCAGCCUUUUAUAUAUAUUCUUUGGUGAAAUGACUAUUCAGAUCUUUUGCCUGUUUUUAAAUUAGGUUGCUGGUCUUCUUAUUACUGAGUUGUAAGAGUUCUUAAUAUAUUCUGGCCUUACCUCCUUUGUUAGAUAUAUGAUUUGCAAGUAUUUUCUCACAGUCUGUAGCUUUUCUUUUCAUUUUCUUAGCGGUACUUUUUUGAAGAGGAAACGUUUUUCAUUUUGAUGAAGUUCAGUUUACCAAUUUUUUUCUUUUAUAAUUCGUGCUUUUGGUAUCAUACCUAAGAAAGCUUUCUCUAAUCAAGGUCACAAAGAUUUUCUCCUGUGUUGUAUCUUAAAGUGGAUGGAGGUGGCCCAUUUUACAGGCAGGACAAAGAAUUAGGAGCUUCAUAGAACUGCCAUGAAAUUAAAGAUCAACCACUGGAGGAGACCAGAAAAUGAUUCUGACUGUUUAAUUAUUGUCUCCUUGCCUUCUUCAGUCUCUCAUUAGUAAUUACCAAACGAAGGGAAAGCUUUCUAAUUUUGUCUGAUGUUAUAUUUUGAAUGUGAAGAGUCAUUUGAAGUCUUUCCAGAAGGCUCAGUGCUGAGUGUUUGCAUUCUCCAUAGACAUUCUCACUCUGUACGUCUUUUCCACACUCCCUUCCCUCCUAAGCCCUUUAAACCAAGGACACGACACCUCCCGCUCCCUUGGCCUGGAGUGUGGACUGAGAGAAAGACCUCGGGAUGGGUGACAGAGUACACAACGGUGGGGCUGUCCUGCAAAACAAAGUGAGCAUCUCUGCUGGCGAGGAAAUGCCAGCACAACUGACCUUCUCGCUCAGAAAAGCAGUGCACACAAAGCAGCUGGGGCUCUGCCUGGGAGCCUCCAGCUCAGAGGAAUGGAGCCUCUGAGCUGGGCCAAGCAGGCCCCAUACAGGUGGCCCAGGCCAGGAGAGCUGGGGUGUCUGCUUUGUCCAGGCCGGAAUUUGGGCUGCCUGGCCCAGUCUCGGCCCACUCUCAGUCAAAAGCUGGCAUUGAUGAGGGCAGUGGGUCCUGUUUCAUUCCAAGGCUGUGCCCUGAAACAGCACGAGGCUGAAAGUAGCUCUUCCUUCCCUGGGGAGAUGCUGAGAAUGCACAAAGCUACAGCCGCACGCCCCCCUUUCCGACCACCUGCAGACAGGACCAGCCCUACAGUCCAGGCUAUUUCCUCUGCCCAAAAUGACCUCCCCCCCCAUCUGCCGUUCUUCUCAUCACAGCUCAAAUCCCGUCUAAAUCAUUGAUUCUACGUGAACGCUAGGCACACGUCCCGAUCUGAGAAAUUGUCCCAGGUCUCCCUGGUGUGAAUCAACCCCCCUCCCCAGUGCUCUCGUAGCACUUUGUCCCCAUCUCUCUCGGAAUUUCUACACUGCUGGGCUGUCAUUCUGCUCUGCCCUCGGAGGCCCAGCUCUGCGGCUUCUCCUCUUACUCUUGAUUCUGAGCUUCUAUCUUCCAGUCUCUAGCUCUGCAAGCUGAUUCUGAUCUCGUGGCUCUUAUUUAACCACAAGAUUCUUUUGUUAUUGUUUUUCUCAUCAUCUCCCUAUAACCAGUGCUUCUUGGCACACACUUUGGGAAAUACUACUCUACUUGUAACGCAGCCUGGAGAUCUGACUCAGGUUCUCAUUGCUUUCUUGACUCACGGUUUGAUUUUGGCCUCAUUACCCCCAGGCAAACCUAAGCUAUGACCAUCCAGCCAUAAAACCUCUGCAGCAAGAACUGCCUCCCUUCCUUAAAUAUAUAUAUUUUUAGUUGUAAGUGGCUUUUGCUAUGGAUAAAAUUACCCUAUAGUGGAGGAGGUGUGGUUGUGAUGGUUGUAUGGGGGAUAGAUUCCUCUGACCUUCUGGAAAAUGUCCUUCUUUCAGAGGGUAUCGAGAGUGAGGAUUGAGGUUCAGCUCAGCUGGUGCCCUAAAACUCUAGGGAUUGGUCAAGAGGAGACCAAGUAGGUAGACGUCUUGGCCUCAUCAUGUCUUUUGACACUGCUGACUGUGUUUUCCUUCUGAAGCUCUCUCCUGCCACAAUUCUCUUCCUAUCUCUGCAUUCGUUCUCAGUUUGCAUCUUUUUUUAACCCACUUAAUUGUGGGUGUUUGCUGGAGUUCUCCUUGUCUUCUUUUCUCCAUUGGCCCACUCUGUGAUCUCAAUCUAUCUCAUAAAUUUAACUCCCACAUAUAUGUUGAGGAUUCCCAAAUCUACGUCCAACUCAGCCCUCUCCUGGAGUUACAGACCUGUAGAUAAUUAGCUGUGUCUUGUUCCUCCUCUCUCUUUCCCCUGGGGAAACAAACAUAACGAAACAAUCUAAUUCUCAUUUGCCAGAGAUGGACUGUGGGAGCUAAGGACAGAAUGAUGCGUUGAUUCAUCCAUCUACCCAUCCAUUCCACAAGUACGAAGCUCCUGCUGGAUGCUGAGCACUGGGUUAGGCACCAGGAACCCAAAGAAGAGUAAGACAUGGUGCCCACUGUCAAAAGCCCAGAAAGAUGACAUAUAAUAUAAUGUGGUAAACACAAUACUUGACACAUAUAAACAAAGUAGAAUGGGCAGUAGAGGUGGGAAUUACCAACUCUGCCUGUAGAAGACUUCACAGACAAGGUGCCUGGAGAAAUUCCUAGAGGUCUCUGGAUUUUUAUGUAUAUGGGCAUUCAAGCACAUAUAGAUUGGUGGUAGGAAAAUAUUUACCAAGAGUGAGGGUGGGAGCCAACAGCUGGUGCUAAGAAUGGUGGAGCAGGAAGAAAGGAGGACAGCGUCAUUGCGAUUAUUGUGGAGCAACCAUCUUGAUCCUGAACUCCAAACUUCUUUUAUAGGAGAGAAAAAUAGACCACUCCUCAUUUUUCACAGGAAGGGAGAGAAGGAGGAAGAGAAAGAGAAGGAGGAGGAGGGGGAGGAGGAGCAGAAGUGGAGGGACGAGGGGUGGAGGAGAAGGAGAAAGAAGAGGAAGUGGGAGGAGAAAAGGAGCCAGAUAGAGAAGCCAGAUAAAAGGACAAAGAUUUAUGUGACAAUCUUUUGCCACCUACAAGUAAUGCAUGCCAGAGAAAGCAGAUAUUCUGGGGGAGAAGGAUGCAAUGGACACUUACAGAGAACCAGAGAGAAACAGAUUAUCCCCAACGUUCUCGACAGCAGAUUCCCAGCCCUGCUGGGGGACAGUGUUUGAGAGAUGAAAGUUAGCAGCACAUCCACUCUGGGCGGGAGGUCACAGCCCCCUUGGACUGAAAGCCUCCACAGGACUCCCCUUUCCUCUCCCUCCAAGCCUAAUGCCAUCCUGGGGCUACUUGGUGUCCAUCACCCCUGUGCUUUGCUCUGUUCUUCUCACAGAGCUGUCAGUUGACAGACUUCAGUGAGAUCAGGGAAGGACUCCACUGGCCUUGGCUUGUAUCCUCACAGGGAUUCAAACACAUCAAGGCACAGGGGAAAUGAAAGCUUCUGCCUUUAACCCUGAAGGUCAGAGCCACCAUGAGGCCAAGAACUGGCAUGAAGAGAGUCACCUGUGCCACUGGAGAUGGCCAUGCCCACACAGCAAUGCCCAUUUUCGGAGGCAGAAGCUGUUCUCCACAGUGGUGGCUCCAGAAUUCCUACAGGAGCUGAGAGUUGAAAUACGUGCAGUAGAGUAAUCUGAUGGUGGAGGAUUUGGGGAGAGGCUCCUUCCUGGAACAUCUCAAAUCAAGGCCAAUUCUAAGCCCUUCCCCAGGACGGAGGCUUCACCUCUCCGUGGAGAUUCCCAGUCACCCCUCUUUGCCAGAUCACUGAUCUUCAAAUUGCACUCCUCAGACGCCUGCAGGUUCAGCCAAGAAAGAGCACUUUCCUUAAGGCUCAGAACAGACCCGGCCUGAGUAACCCACUACCAUCUUGGAGCUGGAGGGCAAUGGCAGGCCCAGACCCAUCAACUCUGCCCCAGUCCUCUCCUGGGAACUUCAAGGGGGAGAAAGAAUGAAGAAAGAAGAUGACACAAAGUCAAACCAAGACCACAAAGGUGCUAGAGCUUCUAAUCUCCUUGCUCUUUACCCUAUUUACAGAAAAGCUGCAAAGCUAGUACAGAGCCGCCCUGUACUCUUCACCCAGCUUCUCUUCAUGCUGUCACCUUAUAUAACCACCGGACAUGUGGCAAAACUAAGAGAUCAAGAUCGUUUGCAUAUGUACUUUUAAUAUGCUGCAGGAUGUCAACACUGUGCUAUAUAACAGAUAUGCUGGUCUUCUAGAUGAUCUCACCUGUGUACAACAGUCUCGGAGGCCAGUUUCCUCUUGAUGCCUCAGGUCGUGAAGCUCUUUGUGAAAAGAGGAAGAUUGCUAGCCCUGAUCUAGUCCAACUGCUUGACAGAUGAGGAAAUUAAAGCUCAGAGUGAACUGACUUGGCCAAAUCCUGGUUCAAAAAGACAAAACACAAUUAUAGAAAGAAAGAUGCAAAUGGCCAUUUUGAAGCAUCCAAAGGGACAAAAACAAUUUAACAAUAAACAGAAGAGUAGGGAUGUAAAAGUCAUUUCUUCCUCAAAUGGCAAAGGAUAAUGUGUUAUACAAGAGUUAAAGACAAAGAAAUUAUGAAACACUUGGAGCACCCUACGUCCAUUUGUACAGAAGAACUGAUAAUUUCUUAAUUUGGAAUCAGAUUACGUUGGAUUGAUGAAGAGGAUUUGGGAAGCAGGCAGACCACAUCAGAAAUGGCUCAAGAUUCUUCAUGCUGAUAAGACUCCAGGAAACUCACAUCCAGACCCGCUGCAGGAAAUGGAGGUGGACAUUACAGAUGCUUUGGAGGACUGCCCUUUCCUGGGAAAUUACUGGUGGCGCGCAAUUCUAGCCCAAGCACAAACAGAGGAGAGAUCUGUACCGUUGUGCCCCAAGAUCUAUACUGUUGGUGAUCAACCAGGUGCCAAACAAUCCUUCUGCAGGAAGGUUCCUAAGCAGUUAAAAUAUAAAACUGAACUUGCUGAACAGAUAAGAUUUACCCUGGAAAUUCAGAUUAUUGGCGACACACAGUAUGUGUACCGCUGGGUCAGUGAGAGUCGGAAGGGUACUCUCCAAGUUUAUCUCAGUGGUUAGUGGCUUGAGCUUGCCAGAGAGGCUGC